AUGGCUUUACGCCGGGCGACGGUUCAUUCAAAUUUCUGCCCUAUCAACUUUCGAUGGUAAGGUAGUGGCUUACCAUGGUUUCAACGGGUAACGGGGAAUUAGGGUUCGAUUCCGGAGAGGGGGCCGGAGGAACGGCCACCACAUCCAAGGAAGGCAGCAGGCGCGCAAAUUACACAAUUCCGAUACGGAGAUGUAGUGACAAUAAAUACUGAUACAGGGCUCUUUUGGGUCUUGUAAUUGGAAUGAGUACAAUUUAAAUCUCUUAACGAGGAACAAUUGGAGGGCAAGUCUGGUGCCAGCAGCCGCGGUAAUUCCAGCUCCAAUAGCGUAUAUUAAAGUUGUUGCAGUUAAAAAGCUCGUAGUUGAACCUUUGGCCUGGCUGGCAGGUCCGCCUCACCGCGUGCACUUGUCCGGCCGGGCCUUUUCUUCUGGAGAACCGCAUGCCCUUCACUGGGUGUGUUGGGGACCAGGACUUUUACUUUGAAAAAAUUAGAGUGUUCAAAGCAGGCCUUUGCUCGAAUACGUUAGCAUGGAAUAAUAGAAUAGGACGUGCGGUCCUAUUUUGUUGGUUUCUAGGACCGCCGUAAUGAUUAAUAGGGACAGUCGGGGGCAUCAGUAUUCAAUUGUCAGAGGUGAAAUUCUUGGAUUUAUUGAAGACUAACUACUGCGAAAGCAUUUGCCAAGGAUGUUUUCAUUAAUCAGUGAACGAAAGUUAGGGGAUCGAAGACGAUCAGAUACCGUCGUAGUCUUAACCAUAAACUAUGCCGACUAGGGAUCGGGCGGU
Molecule: ribosomal RNA, 784 nt
Filed under: Pseudocamarosporium cotinae
Lineage: Eukaryota; Fungi; Ascomycota; Dothideomycetes; Pleosporales; Didymosphaeriaceae
Description: SSU rRNA
Rfam family: Eukaryotic small subunit ribosomal RNA
Source: RNAcentral